UACGUAGGGGGCGAGCGUUGUCCGGAUUUAUUGGGCGUAAAGAGCUCGUAGGCGGUUUGGCAAGUCGGAUGUGAAAUCUCCAGGCUCAACCUGGAGGGGUCAUUCGAAACUGCCAUGACUAGAGUUCGGUAGAGGAGUGUGGAAUUCCUGGUGGAGCGGUGAAAUGCGUAGAUAUGUGGAGGAACACCGAUGGCGAAGGCAGCCCCCUGGGCCGACACUGACGCUCAGGCACGAAAGCGUGGGGAGCAAACAGG
Molecule: ribosomal RNA, 254 nt
Filed under: uncultured bacterium
Lineage: Bacteria
Description: partial 16S ribosomal RNA
Rfam family: Bacterial small subunit ribosomal RNA
Source: RNAcentral